CCCGUCGAAUAUAGAAGAUAAAAAAAAUAUAUAAAUACAUAGCUUGAGAGUUAUCAAUCACACAAAUUUUAGUUUAAAAAACACAUAAACUGAAAACACGAGCUAGGCCAAUGGCACCUACUGUAAAACUUCCCACGCACGAAAGGAAGUCGGAAUUAUAAAGUCACUAAGCCAAAACAGUCUGCGCAACAUCAAAAAGUCGUUCGAAAUAAAGAAACAUGUUGAUUGCGUUGAUAAAAAGGACAAACGAAAUGGACAACCUUAAAUUUUUCAGUUUUCUUGUUAGUUUCGUUGUAAGAAACUAUAGAUAAAUUUUAUUAGAAAUAUCUUGUCGUAAAAUGUUCUGUCAAGCUUCUUGAAUUGUUGGUUGUAGUGAUGGGAAACCAAUAAAUACAAAUAAAAUCAAAACACGAAUAGAUGUUAAA
Episyrphus balteatus (marmalade hoverfly) is the source of this 425-nucleotide long non-coding RNA. RefSeq lists it as uncharacterized. The record is from RefSeq and is a predicted model, not a curated record. The transcript has 2 exons. Lineage: Eukaryota; Metazoa; Arthropoda; Insecta; Diptera; Syrphidae.